CCCUUAGAUGUCCGGGGCCGCACGCGCGCUACACUGAAGGAAUCAGCGUGGCUUUCUCCCUGACCCGAAAGGGUUGGGAAACCCGUUGAAUCUCCUCCGUGAUAGGGAUUGGGGCUUGAAAUUGUUCCCCAUGAACGAGGAAUUCCCAGUAAGCGCGAGUCAUAAGCUCGCGUUGAUUACGUCCCUGCCCUUUGUACACACCGCCCGUCGCUACUACCGAUUGAACGGUUUAGUGAGGGCCUCGGAUUGGUCUCGGCCCGCUCUUUACCGGGCGGCGCCGUUGGUCGAGAAGACGCUCGAACUUGAUCGUUUAGAGGAAGUAAAAGUCGUAACA
RNAcentral lists this ribosomal RNA (334 nucleotides) under uncultured eukaryote. RNAcentral describes it as "partial 18S ribosomal RNA". It matches the Rfam family "Eukaryotic small subunit ribosomal RNA", at positions 1470 to 1796 of the family's 1831-position model. The record is from RNAcentral.